GACAGCAGUCGCCACGGGAAUACGGAGGGUGCAAGCGUUAAUCGGAAUUACUGGGCGUAAAGCGCACGCAGGCGGUCUGACAAGUCAGAUGUGAAAUCCCCGGGCUUAACCUGGGAACUGCAUUUGAAACUGUCAGGCUGGAGUCUUGUAGAGGGGGGUGGAAUUCCAGGUGUAGCGGUGAAAUGCGUAGAGAUCUGGAGGAAUACCGGUGGCGAAGGCGGCCCCCUGGACAAAGACUGACGCUCAGGUGCGAAAGCGUGGGGAGCAAACAGGAUUAGAUACCCGGGUAGUCCCUGUCUCUUAUAC
RNAcentral lists this ribosomal RNA (306 nucleotides) under uncultured bacterium. Its description in RNAcentral is "partial 16S ribosomal RNA". It matches the Rfam family "Bacterial small subunit ribosomal RNA", at positions 507 to 807 of the family's 1533-position model. The record is from RNAcentral.